GCUGGAAUUGCUGUAAUGGCAGGUCAGCAUACUGCCGUGAAUACGUUCCCGGGCCUUGUACACACCGCCCGUCACACCAUGAGAGUUGGGAAUACCCGAAGCCUGUGAGCUAACUUAUAGAGGCAGCAGUCGAAGGUAGAAUCAAUGAUUGGGGUGAAGUCGUAACAAGGUAGC
RNAcentral lists this ribosomal RNA (174 nucleotides) under uncultured bacterium. Its description in RNAcentral is "partial 16S ribosomal RNA". It matches the Rfam family "Bacterial small subunit ribosomal RNA", at positions 1325 to 1500 of the family's 1533-position model. The record is from RNAcentral.